GACGAACGCUGGCGGCGUGCUUAACACAUGCAAGUCGAACGGAAAGGCCCCUUCGGGGGUACUCGAGUGGCGAACGGGUGAGUAACACGUGAGUAACCUGCCCUUGACUUCGGGAUAACUUCAGGAAACUGGGGCUAAUACCGGAUAGGAAUCCUUGCUGCAUGGUGGGGGUUGGAAAGCUUCGGCGGUUUGGGAUGGACUCGCUGCUUAUCAGCUUGUUGGUUGGGUAGUGGCUUACCAAGGCUUUGACGGGUAGCCGGCCUGAGGGGGCGACCGGCCAAAAUGGGACUGAGAUAAGGCCCAGGCUCCGAAGGGAGGGAGGAGGGGGGAAUAUUGGACAAUGGGCGGGAGCCUGAUGCAGCCAAGCCGCGGGCGGGAUGACGGGCUUCGGGUUGUAAACCGGUUUCAGCAGGGGCGAAGCUUGUGGUGACGGUACCUGCAGAAGAAGCACCGGCUAACUACGUG
Molecule: ribosomal RNA, 465 nt
Filed under: uncultured bacterium
Lineage: Bacteria
Description: partial 16S ribosomal RNA
Rfam family: Bacterial small subunit ribosomal RNA
Source: RNAcentral